This is a long non-coding RNA of Pipra filicauda (Wire-tailed manakin), 219 nucleotides long. RefSeq lists it as uncharacterized. The record is from RefSeq and is a predicted model, not a curated record. NCBI's taxonomy places the organism in Eukaryota, Metazoa, Chordata, Aves, Passeriformes, Pipridae. The transcript is spliced from 2 exons.
CUCUUGCCGUACAACAUGGCGGUCCUCCGUGCUCGUUCACUCGCCGCCUUCUCCGCCGCUCUCCCGGUUCCCGGGUUUGUUAUGAGGGACCCGCCAUCUUGUGUCACCGCGCCGCCGCGCCUCAAGAUGGCCGCGCCGGCGUCGAACCCCUGGGAGGGAAAUGAAACCCCGGGAAAGUUUGAUGCAAAGCCGUCAAAAAUAAAGGAGGACAAAGACUUC